Molecule: ribosomal RNA, 269 nt
Filed under: uncultured prokaryote
Description: partial 16S ribosomal RNA
Rfam family: Bacterial small subunit ribosomal RNA
Source: RNAcentral
UACGGAGGAUCCGAGCGUUAUCCGGAUUUAUUGGGUUUAAAGGGAGCGUAGGCGGGAGGUCAAGUCAGCUGUGAAAUGUAUCUGCUUAACGGGUACACUGCAGUUGAAACUGGUUUUCUUGAGUGCGUAAGAGGCAGGCGGAAUUCGUUGUGUAGCGGUGAAAUGCUUAGAUAUGACGAGGAACUCCUAUUGCGAAGGCAGCUUGCUGGGUCGUUACUGACGCUGAUGCUCGAAGGUGCGGGGAUCAAACAGGAUUAGAUACCCCGGUA